Molecule: long non-coding RNA, 1415 nt
Organism: Capsicum annuum
Lineage: Eukaryota; Viridiplantae; Streptophyta; Magnoliopsida; Solanales; Solanaceae
Exons: 2
Source: RefSeq, a predicted model, not a curated record
UCAACAUCAACGAGAACAACUCCUAUUUUCCCUCAAAACCUCUAACCCAAUCGAUCAUCAACAACAUCAACCACCAGCAAAACCCGAUUCCACCAGCCCCCUCGAUAACCCAUUCACAACAUAUAUCAAUAAUUCGAUAUCGAUGCCACACCCGACCCGUCGAGAAGCGACCUCAACUCGUUGCUUGCAUGUAUCACGCGCCUUACCACGUGGAUUCAUACAAGAAUAGCCUCGAAUCUUCUAGAAUAUGGUGAGUUGGCUCUUUUCAACGUUGAAAUCCCACAAAUCUCGGGUAACCGGUAGGAUUCGUACGUUCGUGGCAAUUUUUGAUUGGUUGAUGAGGGAAUUUCGUUUUCUCAUUCCCUAUUUUCAAAUUAUUAGGAAGAUUCCAAAUAGAGUACUUAUUUUUGAACGAGAAACCCUAAGCUAGAGAGAAAUUUUAAAUUUUUAAAUUUCAAAAUAUCUUUUUUAUUAAAUCCCAAGUUACCCCUAAUUCAUCAUCUAUAUAAGAAUCCAUUGGGUCAUUGUUUAAAAGGGGGGAGAGAGUUCAAAAAUUCUUGGGUGGGGAAAAUUUGGGAGAAAAUUUUAGGUUUUGCUUUGUUUUGAAAAAUUCAAGGUUUCAGAAUUAGAGUUGGAAAUUUUUGGGGUUUAGAAAUAGUGGAGAAAGUCAGGUUGAAAAUAUUAGUUUGAGAGAAAAGUUUUCUGAAAGCUGGUCGAUUCAUUGGGAAUUCCCUAAUCGACAACAUUAACUCCCGGUGGUAACGGUUCCGCUGAUAGCUCGUCGUCUCGUUUUGUUGUCCUUAAGGAGUGGAUUCGAUUUCUCGUCGCAUUCUCUUCACGGCCAUUGAGGCCCAUCAUCUCGAUCGAGUCAACUCCUAGAGAAAUUUCAACAUCGAUCUCAAGACAUACCGAAAACAAGGGAGCCGAAAUAAGAAUGGGGUGAAAGUCCUAUCAUUUGAAGCAGUCAUGAGACCUAAUAGUCUCAUUUAUCAUUUUGUCCAUUUACUUAUUAUCAUCUUUAUUUAUGUAUUUAUUUAUUUUCUUAUGUAUUCAUUUGGGCCUCGAAGCCAAAGUUGUACUUAAUACAGGUGAAGCGAAGCUUGAGCCAAAAGCUGUAAAACAUAGACUAGGACAGGCGAUGUGGGUCAAAGACCCAACUAUAUUAGGACGGGGGCGACGAUUUGAGCAUAAAAAGCCUAAAUCACUAUUUCUCCCUUUUCCCUUUUCCCUUAUUCUUUUCGCUUACUUUUUUUACAUGCUUCUUGCGAGCCUAGCUAAAUCCCUAACUAAGUCGCUAAAAAACUGAUUUUGCAAAAACUUUUUCCCACUCAAUCAUUUUUUCAAAAGUUAGUCAAAAGAAUGUUUUCAAACAGUCCAGAUAACCGCAAGUUAGUAGACGUUUUAGGUGUCUAACA